Molecule: long non-coding RNA, 313 nt
Filed under: Theobroma cacao (cacao)
Lineage: Eukaryota; Viridiplantae; Streptophyta; Magnoliopsida; Malvales; Malvaceae
Description: long non-coding RNA (TCAC_LNC002246)
Source: RNAcentral
UUUUAGUUGAUGGGGAGUAGUAGUUCAAGGGAGGGGAGUUGGAGGCAGAAUUCAUCAAUCCGUUCAAAUUCACCUUCAUGGAGUUCUCAUCAGGGGUAUCCUCAGUCCUCGUAUGGUCAUGAAAGCCAGGGUUAUGCACCUCGUGAAAGCCAGGGUUAUGCACCUCAAUAUAGCUACGCCUCCCCACAGUAUUAUCCACCUACACAGGACCCACAGUAUCAUCCACCUACACAAGACCCACAUUAUUAUCCACCUACACAAGACCAUGACAGGGAUAAAAGGACGCUCGACAGGAGGUAUUCAAGAAUUGCAG